Molecule: long non-coding RNA, 699 nt
Organism: Cyprinus carpio carpio
Lineage: Eukaryota; Metazoa; Chordata; Actinopteri; Cypriniformes; Cyprinidae
Source: Ensembl
AAACACUGGUGCCUAUAGCAACAGCAUGCUUCAGGGGAGGUCCCUUAGUGACUCAAGAAUCCUCUCUGAAAAAAAGGCCAGGAAAUCAUUCACAGCCAAAAAAGCUCUGCUCAUAGCAUGUGGAGUGCGAUGUGUCCUGUCACCACGACCCUCUAACUGCUCCACAUCAUCACCCCAUAAAGACGAGAACGGCAGAGCUCAUUCCAUCUCUGCAGAAGAACAGAAAUGCAGUAGAGACUGUGUUGAAACAAAGACUGAACUGAAAGUAUGGGAUGAAUACACUUUGAUUAAAAGACGAGGGGAGAGAGAAAGAGCGAGGAGCAGUAUACACAGACAGAGAGUCCCGCUGGAUUUAAGCCACCGGCCUUCCACUGUCCCACUGGAGAAUCAGACGGGACGCCGAGCACUAAGCACACCAGAUUUGGAGAAAUGUAGCAAUACAUCACUUGCUCACCAAUGGAUCCUCUGCAGUGAAUGGGUGCCGUCAGAAUGAGAGUCCAAACAGCUGAUAAAAACAUCACAAUAAUCCACAAUGCAUCCACACGACUCCAGUCCAUCAGUUAAUGUCUUGUGAAGUGAAAAGCUGUGUGUUUGUAAGAUGCAAAUCCAUCAUUGAAGCAUUUUAUCUUUAAACCAUCACUUCUGGCCAAAAUACCAGUCCAUAAUUCAUAAUAAUGCUUCCCCCAGUUAAAAAGUCAG